AUUGAACGCUGGCGGCAUGCUUUACACAUGCAAGUCGAACGGCAGCGCGGGCUUCGGCCUGGCGGCGAGUGGCGAACGGGUGAGUAAUGCAUCGGAACGUGCCCAGUAGUGGGGGAUAGCCCGGCGAAAGCCGGAUUAAUACCGCAUACGACCUGAGGGUGAAAGCGGGGGACCGAAAGGCCUCGCGCUAUUGGAGCGGCCGAUGUCGGAUUAGCUAGUUGGUGGGGUAAAGGCUUACCAAGGCGACGAUCCGCAGCUGGUCUGAGAGGACGACCAGCCACACUGGGACUGAGACACGGCCCAGACUCCUACGGGAGGCAGCAGUGGGGAAUUUUGGACAAUGGGGGCAACCCUGAUCCAGCCAUGCCGCGUGCGGGAAGAAGGCCUUCGGGUUGUAAACCGCUUUUGUUCGGGAAGAAAUCUUCUGGGCUAAUACCCCGGGGGGAUGACGGUACCGGAAGAAUAAGCACCGGCUAACUACGUG
Molecule: ribosomal RNA, 484 nt
Filed under: uncultured bacterium
Lineage: Bacteria
Description: partial 16S ribosomal RNA
Rfam family: Bacterial small subunit ribosomal RNA
Source: RNAcentral